This is a long non-coding RNA of Silurus meridionalis, 266 nucleotides long. RefSeq lists it as uncharacterized. The record is from RefSeq and is a predicted model, not a curated record. Lineage: Eukaryota; Metazoa; Chordata; Actinopteri; Siluriformes; Siluridae. The transcript has 3 exons.
CAUCUGCAUUUCUCAUCAUCAGCUUCUGAUUCAUUGGUUGAUAUAAAUCUAUGCAGAUAUUUUUAUGGAUGUUUAAAAUGCUCUUUUGGUCCUGCUGGAAUUAUUCCCAUCGCAUCCAGAAGUCCCAUAGGCAGCCACUGGGAGAAGUUUCGGGGAGGAUUUCCGAGGCGGCCUGGACAACGGAAUCCUGUUGUGCGAGUUGCUCAGUUCGAUUAAGCCAGGUCUUGUGAAGAAGAUCAACAGGUUACCUACUCCUCUAGCUGGAC